UGGCUCAAUGGUUAAGAGCACUGGCUGCUCUUUCAGAGGACCUGGGUUCAAUUCCCAG
Molecule: transfer RNA, 58 nt
Filed under: Cricetulus griseus (Chinese hamster)
Lineage: Eukaryota; Metazoa; Chordata; Mammalia; Rodentia; Cricetidae
Rfam family: tRNA
About the family: Transfer RNA (tRNA) molecules are approximately 80 nucleotides in length. Their secondary structure includes four short double-helical elements and three loops (D, anti-codon, and T loops). Further hydrogen bonds mediate the characteristic L-shaped molecular structure. tRNAs have two regions of fundamental functional importance: the anti-codon, which is responsible for specific mRNA codon recognition, and the 3' end, to which the tRNAs corresponding amino acid is attached (by aminoacyl-tRNA synthetases). tRNAs cope with the degeneracy of the genetic code in two manners: having more than one tRNA (with a specific anti-codon) for a particular amino acid; and 'wobble' base-pairing, i.e. permitting non-standard base-pairing at the 3rd anti-codon position.
Source: Rfam by way of RNAcentral